Molecule: ribosomal RNA, 516 nt
Filed under: uncultured bacterium
Lineage: Bacteria
Description: partial 16S ribosomal RNA
Rfam family: Bacterial small subunit ribosomal RNA
Source: RNAcentral
GACUAACGCUGGCGGCACGCCUAACACAUGCAAGUCGAGCGGGAUCUUGUGGAAUGCGUCUUCGGACAAGUGAAGCAAGUGAGAGCGGCGGACGGGUGAGUAAUGUCUGGGAAACUGCCUGAUGGAGGGGGAUAACUACUGGGAACGGUAGCUAAUACCGCAUAACGUCGCAAGACCAAAGAGGGGGACCUUCAGGCCUCUUGCCAUCGGAUGUUCCCAGAUGGGAUUAGCUUGUUGGUGGGGUAACGGCUCACCAAGGCGACGAUCCCUAGCUGGUCUGAGAGGAUGACCAGCCACACUGGAACUGAGACACGGUCCAGACUCCUACGGGAGGCAGCAGUGGGGAAUAUUGCACAAUGGGCGCAAGCCUGAUGCAGCCAUGCCGCGUGUAUGAAGAAGGCCUUCGGGUUGUAAAGUACUUUCAGCGGGGAGGAAGGGAGUAAAGUUAAUACCUUUGCUCAUUGACGUUACCCGCAGAAGAAGCACCGGCUAACUCCGUGCCAGCAGCCGCGGUAA